AAGAGUUGCAAAACUCCCAAACCCCUGUGAACAUACCAUUUGUUGCCUCGGCGGUGCCUGCUUCGGCAGCCCGCCAGAGGACCCAAACCCUUGAUUUUAUACAGUAUCUUCUGAGUAAAUGAUUAAAUAAAUCA
This 134-nucleotide unclassified non-coding RNA is filed under the name uncultured Ilyonectria. RNAcentral describes it as "sequence contains ITS1". The record is from RNAcentral. Lineage: Eukaryota; Fungi; Ascomycota; Sordariomycetes; Hypocreales; Nectriaceae.